CCGAUGCAAACUACGAAUACCGAAGAAUGUUAUCACGGGAGACACACGGCGGGUGCUAACGUCCGUCGUGAAGAGGGAAACAACCCAGACCGCCAGCUAAGGUCCCAAAGUCAUGGUUAAGUGGGAAACGAUGUGGGAAGGCACAGACAGCCAGGAUGUUGGCUUAGAAGCAGCCAUCAUUUAAAGAAAGCGUAAUAGCUCACUGGUCGAGUCGGCCUGCGCGGAAGAUGUAACGGGGCUAAACCAUGCACCGAAGCUGCGGCAGCGACACUAUGUGUUGUUGGGUAGGGGAGCGUUCUGUAAGCCUGCGAAGGUGUGCUGUGAGGCAUGCUGGAGGUAUCAGAAGUGCGAAUGCUGACAUAAGUAACGAUAAAGCGGGUGAAAAGCCCGCUCGCCGGAAGACCAAGGGUUCCUGUCCAACGUUAAUCGGGGCAGGGUGAGUCGACCCCUAAGGCGAGGCCGAAAGGCGUAGUCGAUGGGAAACAGGUUAAUAUUCCUGUACUUGGUGUUACUGCGAAGGGGGGACGGAGAAGGCUAUGUUAGCCGGGCGACGGUUGUCCCGGUUUAAGCAUGUAGGCUGGUUGUCCAGGCAAAUCCGGAUAAUCAAGGCUGAGGUGUGAUGACGAGGCACUACGGUGCUGAAGUAACAAAUGCCCUGCUUCCAGGAAAAGCCUCUAAGCAUCAGGUAACAUCAAAUCGUACCCCAAACCGACACAGGUGGUCAGGUAGAGAAUACCAAGGCGCUUGAGAGAACUCGGGUGAAGGAACUAGGCAAAAUGGUGCCGUAACUUCGGGAGAAGGCACGCUGGUGUGUAGGUGAAGUCCCUGCGGAUGGAGCUGAGACCAGUCGAAGAUACCAGCUGGCUGCAACUGUUUAUUAAAAACACAGCACUGUGCAAACACGAAAGUGGACGUAUACGGUGUGACGCCUGCCCGGUGCCGGAAGGUUAAUUGAUGGGGUUAUCCGUAAGGAGAAGCUCUUGAUCGAAGCCCCGGUAAACGGCGGCCGUAACUAUAACGGUCCUAAGGUAGCGAAAUUCCUUGUCGGGUAAGUUCCGACCUGCACGAAUGGCGUAAUGAUGGCCAGGCUGUCUCCACCCGAGACUCAGUGAAAUUGAACUCGCUGUGAAGAUGCAGUGUACCCGCGGCAAGACGGAAAGACCCCGUGAACCUUUACUAUAGCUUGACACUGAACAUUGAGCCUUGAUGUGUAGGAUAGGUGGGAGGCUUUGAAGCGUGGACGCCAGUCUGCGUGGAGCCAACCUUGAAAUACCACCCUUUAAUGUUUGAUGUUCUAACGUUGGCCCCUGACCGGGGUUGCGGACAGUGUCUGGUGGGUAGUUUGACUGGGGCGGUCUCCUCCCAAAGCGUAACGGAGGAGCACGAAGGUUAGCUAAUCCUGGUCGGACAUCAGGAGGUUAGUGCAAUGGCAUAAGCUAGCUUGACUGCGAGCGUGACGGCGCGAGCAGGUGCGAAAGCAGGUCAUAGUGAUCCGGUGGUUCUGAAUGGAAGGGCCAUCGCUCAACGGAUAAAAGGUACUCCGGGGAUAACAGGCUGAUACCGCCCAAGAGUUCAUAUCGACGGCGGUGUUUGGCACCUCGAUGUCGGCUCAUCACAUCCUGGGGCUGAAGUAGGUCCCAAGGGUAUGGCUGUUCGCCAUUUAAAGUGGUACGCGAGCUGGGUUUAGAACGUCGUGAGACAGUUCGGUCCCUAUCUGCCGUGGGCGCUGGAGAAUUGAGGGGGGCUGCUCCUAGUACGAGAGGACCGGAGUGGACGCAUCACUGGUGUUCGGGUUGUCAUGCCAAUGGCACUGCCCGGUAGCUAAAUGCGGAAGAGAUAAGUGCUGAAAGCAUCUAAGCACGAAACUUGCCCCGAGAUGAGUUCUCCCUGAGACUUUAAGUCUCCUGAAGGAACGUUAAAGACGAUGACGUUGAUAGGCCGGGUGUGUAAGCGCAGCGAUGCGUUGAGCUAACCGGUACUAAUGAACCGUGAGGCUUAACCUUACAACGCCGAAG
This 2015-nucleotide ribosomal RNA is filed under the name Klebsiella pneumoniae. RNAcentral's name for it is "bacterial LSU rRNA". It matches the Rfam family "Bacterial large subunit ribosomal RNA", at positions 944 to 2925 of the family's 2925-position model. Lineage: Bacteria; Pseudomonadati; Pseudomonadota; Gammaproteobacteria; Enterobacterales; Enterobacteriaceae. The record is from RNAcentral.